UGGGGAAUAUUGCGCAAUGGGGGAAACCCUGACGCAGCGACGCCGCGUGAGCGAAGAAGGCCUUAGGGUUGUAAAGCUCUGUUUUAGGGGACGAAUGUCGUAGUCAGUAAUAUGGACUACGAAUGACGGUACCUUAAGAGGAAGCCCCGGCUAACUACGUGCCAGCAGCCGCGGUAAGACGUAGGGGGCGAGCGUUGUCCGGAAUUACUGGGCGUAAAGAGCACGUAGGCGGGAACUUAAGUCAGGUGUGAAAGACCGUGGCUCAACCACGGGGUGGCAUUUGAAACUGGGUUUCUUGAGGGCAGGAGAGGAAAGCAGAAUUCCUGGUGUAGCGGUGAAAUGCGUAGAAAUCAGGAGGAAUACCAGUGGCGAAGGCGGCUUUCUGGACUGACCCUGACGCUGAGGUGCGAAAGCGUGGGUAGCAAACA
This 428-nucleotide ribosomal RNA is filed under the name uncultured bacterium. Its description in RNAcentral is "bacterial SSU rRNA". It matches the Rfam family "Bacterial small subunit ribosomal RNA", at positions 355 to 774 of the family's 1533-position model. The record is from RNAcentral.